AAACCGUACUGAAAACCGACACAGGUGGUCAGGUAGAGAAUACUCAGGCGCUUGAGAGAACUCGGGUGAAGGAACUAGGCAAAAUAGCACCGUAACUUCGGGAGAAGGUGCGCCGGCGUAGAUUGUAAGGGCUAGCCCCUGAAGGUUGAACCGGUCGAAGUGACCCGCUGGCUGCAACUGUUUAUUAAAAACACAGCACUCUGCAAACACGAAAGUGGACGUAUAGGGUGUGAUGCCUGCCCGGUGCUGGAAGGUUAAUUGAUGGUGUAAUCGCAAGAGAAGCACCUGAUCGAAGCCCCAGUAAACGGCGGCCGUAACUAUAACGGUCCUAAGGUAGCGAAAUUCCUUGUCGGGUAAGUUCCGACCUGCACGAAUGGCAUAAUGAUGGCCAGGCUGUCUCCACCCGAGACUCAGUGAAAUUGAAAUCGCCGUGAAGAUGCGGUGUACCCGCGGCUAGACGGAAAGACCCCGUGAACCUUUACUAUAGCUUGACACUGAACAUUGAAUUUUGAUGUGUAGGAUAGGUGGGAGACUUAGAAGUAGUCACGCCAGUGAUUAUGGAGUCGACCUUGAAAUACCACCCUUUAACGUUUGAUGUUCUAACGAAGAUGACGAAACGUGGUCUCGGACAGUGUCUGGUGGGUAGUUUGACUGGGGCGGUCUCCUCCCAAAGCGUAACGGAGGAGCACGAAGGUUUGCUAAUCACGGUCGGACAUCGUGAGGUUAGUGCAAUGGUAUAAGCAAGCUUAACUGCGAGACAGACAAGUCGAGCAGGUACGAAAGUAGGUCAUAGUGAUCCGGUGGUUCUGAAUGGAAGGGCCAUCGCUCAACGGAUAAAAGGUACUCCGGGGAUAACAGGCUGAUACCGCCCAAGAGUUCAUAUCGACGGCGGUGUUUGGCACCUCGAUGUCGGCUCAUCACAUCCUGGGGCUGAAGUAGGUCCCAAGGGUAUGGCUGUUCGCCAUUUAAAGUGGUACGCGAGCUGGGUUUAGAACGUCGUG
RNAcentral lists this ribosomal RNA (1001 nucleotides) under Haemophilus influenzae. Its description in RNAcentral is "partial 23S ribosomal RNA". It matches the Rfam family "Bacterial large subunit ribosomal RNA", at positions 1639 to 2623 of the family's 2925-position model. Lineage: Bacteria; Pseudomonadati; Pseudomonadota; Gammaproteobacteria; Pasteurellales; Pasteurellaceae. The record is from RNAcentral.